Molecule: ribosomal RNA, 448 nt
Filed under: uncultured bacterium
Lineage: Bacteria
Description: bacterial SSU rRNA
Rfam family: Bacterial small subunit ribosomal RNA
Source: RNAcentral
CCUACGGGGGGCACCAGUGGGGAAUAUUGCACAGUGGGCGCAAGCCUGAUGCAGCGACGCCGCGUGGGGGAUGACGGCCUUCGGGUUGUAAACUCCUUUCGCUAGGGAAGAAGCCUUUUGGUGACGGUACCUGGAUAAGAAGCACCGGCUAACUACGUGCCAGCAGCCGCGGUAAUACGUAGGGUGCGAGCGUUGUCCGGAAUUACUGGGCGUAAAGAGCUCGUAGGUGGUUUGUCGCGUCGUCUGUGAAAUCCCGGGGCUUAACUUCGGGCGUGCAGGCGAUACGGGCAUAACUAGAGUGCAGUAGGGGAGACUGGAAUUCCUGGUGUAGCGGUGAAAUGCGCAGAUAUCAGGAGGAACACCGAUGGCGAAGGCGGGUCUCUGGGCAGUUACUGACGCUGAGGAGCGAAAGCAUGGGUAGCGAACAGGAUUAGAUACCCCAGUAGUC